Molecule: RNA transcript, 1819 nt
Organism: Trifolium pratense (red clover)
Lineage: Eukaryota; Viridiplantae; Streptophyta; Magnoliopsida; Fabales; Fabaceae
Gene name: protein MID1-COMPLEMENTING ACTIVITY 1-like
Exons: 8
Source: RefSeq, a predicted model, not a curated record
UAAACAUCAACUUUUGAUUACUUUAACUUUUUCUUAUAUAUAGGAUCUGAGGGAAUAUUUUGAUUAAUAAUACGAAUUUUGAACUGGUUUAAUGUGAAAUUAUUAUUUAUGAAAAAGGACUAUCUUAUCUUAUGUUAAAAAAUGAAACUAGAAUCAAAAUCAACACUUUAAAGAUUCAUUUGGUUUCAGUUUCCAGCUUUUUAUUUUUCUACUUAAAUUUCAUUUACCAUGUGUUGUUGCAGUGCCAGUGUUUCUGAAAACUCAAGAUCUUGAAAGGCAAUGCUGUAUCUGAGAAGUGAGAGAGAAUCAAUCAACAUCAUGCAGAAGAUGAUUUCAGAGGCUUAAGCUGUCAAUGCUAUUUGUACAAUCAUAGGUUGGAGUUGUGAGAGCUUAUAAAACAUGGCAUCUUCAUGGGAACAUUUUGGCGAGAUUGCAAAUGUGGCUCAAUUAACAGGCUUAGAUGCUGUGAAGUUGAUUGGAAUGAUUGUUAAAGCUGCGAAUACAGCAAGGAUGCAUAAGAAGAAUUGUAGGCAGUUUGCACAACAUCUUAAGUUAAUUGGAAACUUGCUUGAUCAGCUGAAGAUCUCAGAGCUUAAGAAAUAUCCCGAAACGCGAGAGCCUCUAGAACAACUAGAAGAUGCCUUGAGAAGGUCUUACAUUUUGGUCAAUAGUUGUCAGGAUCGUAGCUAUCUUUAUUUGCUCGCCAUGGGGUGGAACAUUGUUUAUCAAUUUAGGAAGGCUCAGAAUGAAAUUGAUAGAUACUUGCGACUUGUUCCUCUCAUUACUCUAGUCGACAAUACUCGUGUCAAUACUCGAGUCAGGGAGAGACUUGAAGUUAUUGAAAAGGAUCAAUGUGAAUACACAUUGGAUGAUGAGGAUCAAAAGGUGCAAACUGUGUUUCUAAAACCAGAACCUAACAAAGAGGACACUGUAGUGUUGAAGAAAACUCUUUCAUGUACUUACCCUAACUUUUCUUUCACCGAAGCACUUAAAAAAGAAAACGAAAAGCUUCAACUAGAGUUACAACAUUCACAAGCAAAUAUGGAUAUAAAUCAGUGCGAGUUCAUUCAACGUUUACUAGAUGUCACGGAAGUCGCUGCUUAUUCUCUUCCGGAGAAGUUAUCACCUGAAAAUAGUCACAAGAAAGUAGAAUACAUUAGCCAAAGUUAUUCCGACGCCAAUGGCAGCAAAGGUCAUUCUUCUGAUGAAAAACAUCGAAAAAGCAGUGAUACUCUUCCAGCAUCAAGAUCCUCAGUUUCAGAAAAGGAUUUGCGGUCAACUAGAAGUUCAUAUCAGCAGGAAGAUUGGCAUACUGAUUUACUUGCUUGUUGUUCUGAACCUUAUCUUUGUAUAAGGACAUUCUUCUAUCCAUGUGGGACAUUUUCAAAGAUUGCUACUGUUGCAACCAAUAGACCAAUAUUGUUUUUUCAGCUUCUGCAGAAGGAGGCUAUGUUGAUGAUUUUCUUUCUCAUUUGAUGUGUUGCUGCUGUGCCCUUGUGCAAGAAUGGCGAGAAGUACAAAUCCGUGGCUUUUAUGGUCCUGAGAAGACUAACACUAGCCCUCCAACCCCGCAGUACAUGGAAUCAUCUUAAAUAACAAAUUAGUUUGUUUUAGGGGGUAAAUACUAAAUACCGUGUUAAAUAUAGACAGUUGGCUAUUGAAUUUUAUUCUCACACUGCUUGGUAACAGUUAACUAUAUCUAAAGUAGCUUUCUAUUUUUUAUGUGCUAAAAGAAGUAGCUUUUAGUGUUUGCCUGAUAUAAUGUACUGUAAUGUAAUUGAGAAUGGGAUAAAUUUCUGUAAAGCAUUGGAGUCUGAAA